CCCUUGUACACACCGCCCGUCACACCAUGGGAGUUGGUUUUACCUGAAGCCGGUGCGCUAACCCGCAAGGGAGGCAGCCGACCACGGUAGGGUCAGCGACUGGGGUG
Molecule: ribosomal RNA, 107 nt
Filed under: uncultured bacterium
Lineage: Bacteria
Description: partial 16S ribosomal RNA
Rfam family: Bacterial small subunit ribosomal RNA
Source: RNAcentral